This 398-nucleotide ribosomal RNA is filed under the name uncultured bacterium. RNAcentral describes it as "partial 16S ribosomal RNA". It matches the Rfam family "Bacterial small subunit ribosomal RNA", at positions 338 to 733 of the family's 1533-position model. The record is from RNAcentral.
CCUACGGGAGGCAGCAGUGAGGAAUAUUGGUCAAUGGGCGCGAGCCUGAACCAGCCAAGUCGCGUGAGGGAUGACUGCACUGCGGGUUGUAAACUUCUUUUAUCAGGGAAUAAAGUGAGGCACGUGUGCCUUUUUGUGUGUACUUUAUGAAUAAGGAUCGGCUAACUCCGUGCCAGCAGCCGCGGUAAUACGGAGGAUCCGAGCGUUAUCCGGAUUUAUUGGGUUUAAAGGGAGCGUAGAUGGGUUGUUAAGUCAGCUGUGAAAGCUUGCGGCUCAACCGUAAACUUGCAAUUGAUACUGGCAGCCUUGAGUAGAGGUGAGGUAUGCGGAAUGCGCGGUGUAGCGGUGAAAUGCUUAGAUAUCACGAAGAACUCCGAUUGCGAAGGCAGCUUGCUAAA